Long non-coding RNA from Homo sapiens (human), 385 nucleotides. The record is from Ensembl. NCBI's taxonomy places the organism in Eukaryota, Metazoa, Chordata, Mammalia, Primates, Hominidae.
UUCACCUUCCACCGUGAUUGUGAGGCCUCCACAGCCACAUGGAACUGACCUGUUCUGAAUGGUGCUGAAGCCCCAUGUGACAGAGUCCAUGCCCAUCAGGAGGCUGACCUUCAGGACAAGAGAGGAUGCAUUCUUAACCACAGCUGUCAAUGGCAGCCUGAUUCUUUCACGCUGAAAACCGGAUCACUGCAUCUUAUAGCAAUCGACAUUCCCAGCACAUGACCAUUCAGUCAACAACUUUUAACUGAGCAUCUACUAGGUACCAGGCCUCUGUGCUAGGCGCUGGGGGGCACAACAGGUAGCAUCCUCUUUCUCAACACAGUCUAAUGGCCAAAAAAGCACUCCGCAAUAUAGAAGGCAGAAGAGGCCGGGGACGGUGGCUCAC